Molecule: ribosomal RNA, 468 nt
Filed under: uncultured bacterium
Lineage: Bacteria
Description: partial 16S ribosomal RNA
Rfam family: Bacterial small subunit ribosomal RNA
Source: RNAcentral
GACGAACGCUGGCGGCGUGCUUAACACAUGCAAGUCGAACGGAAAGGCCCUGCUUUUGUGGGGUGCUCGAGUGGCGAACGGGUGAGUAACACGUGAGUAACCUGCCCUUGACUUUGGGAUAACUUCAGGAAACUUGGGCUAAUACCGGCUAGGAGCUCCUGCUGCAUGGUGGGGGUUGGAAGGUUUCGGCGGUUGGGGAGGGACUCGCGGCUUAUCAGCUUGUUGGUGGGGUAGUGGCUUACCAAGGCUUUGAAGGGUAGCCGGCCUGAGAGGGUGAGCGGCCACAUCGGGACGGAGAUAAGGCCCAGCCCACUCCGGUAGGCAGCAGAGGGGAAGAUUGCACAAUGGGCGGAAGCCUGAUGCAGCAACGCCGCGUGCGGGAAGACGGCCUUCGGGUUGUAAACCGCUUUCGCCUGUGACGAAGCGUGAGUGACGGUAAUGGGUAAAGAAGCACCGGCUAACUACGUG